GCGUAAAGGGCUCGCAGGCGGUUUCUUAAGUCUGAUGUGAAAGCCCCCCCCUCAACCGGGGAGGGUCAUUGGAAACUGGGGAACUUGAGUGCAGAAGAGGAGAGUGGAAUUCCACGUGUAGCGGUGAAAUGCGUAGAGAUGUGGAGGAACACCAGUGGCGAAGGCGACUCUCUGGUCUGUAACUGACGCUGAGGAGCGAAAGCGUGGGGAGCGAACAGGAUUAGAUACCCUGGUAGUCCACGCCGUAAACGAUGAGUGCUAAGUGUUAGGGGGUUUCCGCCCCUUAUUGCUGCAGCUAACGCAUUAAGCACUCCGCCUGGGGAGUACGGUCGCAAGACUGAAACUCAAAGGAAUUGACGGGGGCCCGCACAAGCGGUGGAGCAUGUGGUUUAAUUCGAAGCAACGCGAAGAACCUUACCAGGUCUUGACAUCCUCUGACAAUCCUAAAGAUAGGACGUCCCCUUCGGGGGCAGAGUGACAGGUGGUGCAUGGUUGUCGUCAGCUCGUGUCGUGAGAUGUUGGGUUAAGUCCCGCAACGAGCGCAACCCUUGAUCUUAGUUGCCAGCAUUCAGUUGGGCACUCUAAGGUGACUGCCGGUGACAAACCGGAGGAAGGUGGGGAUGACGUCAAAUCAUCAUGCCCCUUAUGACCUGGGCUACACACGUGCUACAAUGGACAGAACAAAGGGCAGCGAAACCGCGAGGUUAAGCCAAU
This 714-nucleotide ribosomal RNA is filed under the name Bacillus subtilis. RNAcentral describes it as "bacterial SSU rRNA". It matches the Rfam family "Bacterial small subunit ribosomal RNA", at positions 558 to 1272 of the family's 1533-position model. Lineage: Bacteria; Bacillati; Bacillota; Bacilli; Caryophanales; Bacillaceae. The record is from RNAcentral.